This 1441-nucleotide ribosomal RNA is filed under the name uncultured prokaryote. Its description in RNAcentral is "partial 16S ribosomal RNA". It matches the Rfam family "Bacterial small subunit ribosomal RNA". The record is from RNAcentral.
AGAACGAACGCUGGUGGCAUGCCUAAUACAUGCAAGUCGAACGAGAAAGCACCUUCGGUGUGAGUAGAGUGGCGCACGGGUGAGUAACGCGUAGGUGACGUACCUAUUAGUGGGGGACAACAUCGGGAAACCGGUGCUAAUACCGCAUACUCUGAGUGAAAUUGGAAAAACUCAGCAAAGGGGCUUCGGUCUCGCUAGUAGAUUGGCCUGCGUAGCAUUAGCUUGAUGGUGGGGUAAUGGCCUACCAUGGCUUCGAUGCUUAACUGGUCUGAGAGGAUGAUCAGUCACACUGGAACUGAGACACGGUCCAGACUCCUACGGGAGGCAGCAGUAGGGAAUAUUGCGCAAUGGGGGAAACCCUGACGCAGCAAUGCCACGUGAGUGAGGAAGGCCUUAGGGUUGUAAAGCUCUGUCCUAUAGGAAUAAUGGUUUGGGGUAAUGCUCAAAUUUGAAGGUACUAUAGAAGAAAGCACCGGCUAACUCCGUGCCAGCAGCCGCGGUAAUACGGAGGGUGCAAGCGUUGUUCGGAUUUAUUGGGCGUAAAGCGCGCGCAGGCGGAUCAGCAAGUCAGAUGUGAAAUCUCGGGGCUUAACCUCGAAACUGCGUCUGAAACUGUUGAUCUAGAAUCUCAGAGAGGGUAGGGGAAUUUCACGUGUAGGGGUAAAAUCCGUAGAGAUGUGAAGGAACACCGGAGGCGAAGGCGCCUACCUGGAUGAGUAUUGACGCUGAGGCGCGAAAGCGUGGGGAGCAAACAGGAUUAGAUACCCUGGUAGUCCACGCCGUAAACGAUGAGCACUAGCUAUUGGGGGUAUUGACUCCUUCAGUGGCGUAGCUAACGCAUUAAGUGCUCCGCCUGGGGAGUACGGUCGCAAGACUAAAACUCAAAGGAAUUGACGGGGGCCCGCACAAGCGGUGGAUUAUGUGGUUUAAUUCGAAGCAACGCGCAGAACCUUACCAAGACUUGAAAUCCUAGGAAUCCGACGUAAUGGUUGGAGUGCUCGCAAGAGAAUCUAGUGACAGGUGCUGCAUGGCUGUCGUCAGCUCGUGUUGUGAAAUGUUGGGUUAAGUCUCGCAACGAGCGCAACCCCUAUCUUUAGUUGCCAGCAUUAAGUUGGGCACUCUAGAGAGACUGCCCGGGUUAACCGGGAGGAAGGUGGGGAUGACGUCAAGUCCUCAUGGCCCUUAUGUCUUGGGCUACACACGUAAUACAAUGGUUGAUACAAAGGGAAGCGACCCUGCGAAGGUAAGCAAAUCUCAAAAAGUCAAUCUCAGUCCGGAUUGGAGUCUGCAACUCGACUCCAUGAAGUUGGAAUCGCUAGUAAUCGCGGAUCAGCACGCCGCGGUGAAUACGUUCCCGGGCCUUGUACAACCGCCCGUCACACCAUGGGAGUUGGUUCAAUCUUAAGACGUGACUCUAACUUCGGAGGAGAGCGUCUACGGU